This 465-nucleotide ribosomal RNA is filed under the name Vreelandella stevensii. Its description in RNAcentral is "partial 16S ribosomal RNA". It matches the Rfam family "Bacterial small subunit ribosomal RNA", at positions 338 to 795 of the family's 1533-position model. The record is from RNAcentral. Lineage: Bacteria; Pseudomonadati; Pseudomonadota; Gammaproteobacteria; Oceanospirillales; Halomonadaceae.
CCUACGGGUGGCAGCAGUGGGGAAUAUUGGACAAUGGGCGAAAGCCUGAUCCAGCCAUGCCGCGUGUGUGAAGAAGGCCUUCGGGUUGUAAAGCACUUUCAGUGGGGAAGAAAGCCUUGGGGCUAAUACCCUCGAGGAAGGACAUCACCCGCAGAAGAAGCACCGGCUAACUCCGUGCCAGCAGCCGCGGUAAUACGGAGGGUGCGAGCGUUAAUCGGAAUUACUGGGCGUAAAGCGCGCGUAGGCGGUCUGAUAAGCCGGGUGUGAAAGCCCCGGGCUCAACCUGGGAACGGCAUCCGGAACUGGCAGGCUAGAGUGCAGGAGAGGAAGGUAGAAUUCCCGGUGUAGCGGUGAAAUGCGUAGAGAUCUGGAGGAAUACCAGUGGCGAAGGCGGCCUUCUGGACUGACACUGACGCUCAGGUGCGAAAGCGUGGGUAGCAAACAGGAUUAGAUACCCUAGUAGUC